CUGCGAAGGGGGGACGGAGAAGGCUAUGUUAGCCGGGCGACGGUUGUCCCGGUUUAAGCAUGUAGGCUGAUUGUCCAGGCAAAUCCGGAUAAUCAAGGCAGAGGUGUGAUGACGAGGCACUACGGUGCUGAGGUAACAAAUGCCCUGCUGCCAGGCAAAGCCUCUAAGCAUCAGGUAACAUGAAAUCGUACCCCACACCGACGCUGCUGGUCAGGCAGCGAAUACCAAGGCGCUCGAGAGAACUCGGGUGAAGGAACUCGGCAAAAUGGGUCCGUAACUAGGGGAGAGGGCACGCUGGUGAGCAGGGGAAGUCCCUG
This 317-nucleotide ribosomal RNA is filed under the name Klebsiella pneumoniae. RNAcentral's name for it is "partial 23S ribosomal RNA". It matches the Rfam family "Bacterial large subunit ribosomal RNA", at positions 1456 to 1770 of the family's 2925-position model. Lineage: Bacteria; Pseudomonadati; Pseudomonadota; Gammaproteobacteria; Enterobacterales; Enterobacteriaceae. The record is from RNAcentral.